Molecule: unclassified non-coding RNA, 349 nt
Filed under: Hevea brasiliensis (rubber tree)
Lineage: Eukaryota; Viridiplantae; Streptophyta; Magnoliopsida; Malpighiales; Euphorbiaceae
Source: RNAcentral
GCCAUAAUUAAAUAUUGGGGUGGAUUAUAAUUUUAUUCCUGAAUUUUGUUAUUAUUUAUAAUUUGAUUCCUAUAUUAUAAAGAAACUUAUUAAAAUGUCUUAUUGAUUUCGUCAAACACUUUCAUUGCUCCAUCCAAUUAAUUGUUAAUACUAAAGAAAAAAAAUUAAAUACCCUUUAAAAACUAGCAAUUAGAGGGAUGUUUCUAAAAUAGAUGGACGAAAGUGUUAAUAAGAGCAAUAACAAUAGCAAAAUGAGAGAAUAAAUAGUCAUCUAUUUAAAAUUUAAUUACAAUAUGUCAGAAUAGACUUAAAAAAUGGUUUAAUGGAAUCAAAUCUGAGAAAUGUUUUA